UACGUAGGGUGCGAGCGUUACUCGGAAUUACUGGGCGUAAAGCGUGCGCAGGCGGUUUUGUAAGCCCGGUGUGAAAUCCCCGGGCUCAACCUGGGAAUGGCAUUUGGGACUGCAAGGCUGGAGUGCGGCAGAGGAGACUGGAAUUCCUGGUGUAGCAGUGAAAUGCGUAGAUAUCAGGAGGAAUACCGAUGGCGAAGGCAGGUCUCUGGGCUGACACUGACGCUCAUGCACGAAAGCGUGGGGAGCAAACAGG
This 253-nucleotide ribosomal RNA is filed under the name uncultured bacterium. RNAcentral describes it as "partial 16S ribosomal RNA". It matches the Rfam family "Bacterial small subunit ribosomal RNA", at positions 524 to 776 of the family's 1533-position model. The record is from RNAcentral.